CAAAUUAAGGUUCUCACGUGAUGGACGGAGUGGAUUUACAAGAGCCCCUCCGAGCUUGCGUGUUUUACGCGGUGCGUAAAACAGGGGUAGACGAUUCUGGUCCGUCCUCUUCGAAUAUCAAACCCUAGUUGUCGCUCGUUAAAAACUAAAGAAGAAGAAGUGAUGGCUUUCUCAUCAGCAAAUGGUGGAGGAAAUCGGCCGGAAAAUAAUGUAAGUUGAUGGAGUUCGGUCCUCUUCUUCCCUUCUCCGGCGCCGUCUGAUCGGGUGUCCGUUUUUUCCGUCUCCGUAUCCAAGAGUAUGUCUACCACUGAGUCAUGGAGCUGGUCCCAGGCAUUUUUUAGUUAAAUCAAAGAUGUCAAAGAGAUUUGUAAGCGUGGAAAUGGUUUUCCAUUUCUAUACUUUUCCUCGAAAAAUGUGCAAAGGAUUCUAAAUGUAGAUUUCAAACGUAUAUAUCAAUAAGAUUAUUAUUGUAAAAAUGGUGAUUAUGGAUCCUCAAUGGUGCUCGCUAACUUGUAAUUGGAAUGUGCUAGAAUCCAGACUGUCCAUUUGGGAUAUUCUAUUUGGAAUGCAUUAGAAUUUUUUAGUAUA
Molecule: long non-coding RNA, 588 nt
Organism: Magnolia sinica
Lineage: Eukaryota; Viridiplantae; Streptophyta; Magnoliopsida; Magnoliales; Magnoliaceae
Exons: 2
Source: RefSeq, a predicted model, not a curated record